Molecule: ribosomal RNA, 641 nt
Filed under: uncultured bacterium
Lineage: Bacteria
Description: bacterial SSU rRNA
Rfam family: Bacterial small subunit ribosomal RNA (bases 1-542)
Source: RNAcentral
CCUACGGGAGGCAGCAGUGGGGAAUUUUGGACAAUGGGCGAAAGCCUGAUCCAGCAAUGCCGCGUGAGUGAAGAAGGCCUUCGGGUUGUAAAGCUCUUUUGUCAGGGAAGAAACGGUGAGAGCUAAUAUCUCUUGCUAAUGACGGUACCCGAAGAAUAAGCACCGGCUAACUACGUGCCAGCAGCCGCGGUAAUACGUAGGGUGCAAGCGUUAAUCGGAAUUACUGGGCGUAAAGCGUGCGCAGGCGGUUUUGUAAGUCUGUCGUGAAAUCCCCGGGCUCAACCUGGGAAUUGCGAUGGAGACUGCAAGGCUAGAAUCUGGCAGAGGGGGGUAGAAUUCCACGUGUAGCAGUGAGAUGCGUAGAGAUGUGGAGGAACACCGAUGGCGAAGGCAGCCCCCUGGGUCAAGAUUGACGCUCAUGCACGAAAGCGUGGGGAGCAAACAGGAUUAGAUACCCUGGUAGUCCACGCCCUAAACGAUGUCUACUAGUUGUCGGGUUUUAAUUAACUUGGUAACGCAGCUAACGCGUGAAGUAGACCGCCGUGGGGAGGUACGGUCGGUCGAGAAGUUAAACGUAACGUUAAAGUUAGUAAGUUAGUUACGGCGNGAGACGAGCCGACGGACGACGACGAGGGAGGAGG